Molecule: ribosomal RNA, 468 nt
Filed under: uncultured bacterium
Lineage: Bacteria
Description: partial 16S ribosomal RNA
Rfam family: Bacterial small subunit ribosomal RNA
Source: RNAcentral
GACGAACGCUGGCGGCGUGCUUAACACAUGCAAGUCGAACGGAAAGGCCCUGCUUUUGUGGGGUUCUCGAGUGGCGAACGGGUGAGUAACACGUGAGUAACCUGCCCUUGACUUUGGGAUAACUCCUGGAAACUGGGGCUAAUACCCGAUAGAAGCUCCUGCUCCAUGUUGGUGGUUGGAAAAUUUCGGCGGUUGGGGAUGGACUCGCGGCUUAUCAGCUUGUUGGUGGGGUAGUUGCUUACCAAGGCUUUGACGGGUAGCCUGCCUGAGAGGGGGAACGGCGACAUGGGGACUGAGAUAGGGACCAGAAUCGUACGGGAGGCAGCAGUGGGGAACAUUGCACAAUGGGCGGAAGCGUGAGGCAGCAACGCCGGGUGCGGGAUGCCGGCUUUCGGGUUGUAAACCGAUUUCGCCUGUGACGAAGAGUGAGUGACGGUAAUGGGUAAAGAAGCACCGGCUAACUACGUG